Molecule: long non-coding RNA, 4824 nt
Organism: Triticum aestivum (bread wheat)
Lineage: Eukaryota; Viridiplantae; Streptophyta; Magnoliopsida; Poales; Poaceae
Exons: 4
Source: RefSeq, a predicted model, not a curated record
UCACGCUCGUAAUGCACGACAAAAAGGAAAAAACUACCAGCCCUCCUCGCCUCCCCCACGAUGCCCUCCUGGGCAGGGCACGCGCGCCCCUCUGCGCUCGGCUGCCGCCCCUCCGCGCUUUCCCGCCGCCGCCACGCGCCUGGGUGGCCACUGAGGCUCCCGGCCUCCUGGUCAACCAGCACGGAGCCGAUGCAUCGACACCAACGCGGGAUCCGUCUGCCCUUCUCGCUCGCUGUUUGACGCUGCCAUGCAUAGACGGAGGUGGUGCUGCGGCAUGCGAUCCGAUGUCGAGAUCACGGGAGAAUUGCUGCUGCUGAUCCCUACCUCCACCCCCAAACCACACCCGUCCAUGGUCGCCGAGGCCAGUCGCAUCAUGGCACGGUGAUUUCAGAAGUACGGUCAAAUGGAAGGCUGGAGGAAGAUUUUUGAUAUGGCAAAGGCAUCAGUAAUGACAUGAGACAAGAGUGAUGACAAUGGAAAAUGUAUGAAUAUGCAGCCUUCACAGUAAAAAGGUAAAACAGUUCUUUCAUUUUGUUUGUUUUGCUCUAGAUAUAUGUGACAAUUGGUCAUAUAUAUGCAGGCCUGACUUGUUUCUUCGAAGGGGACAAAUUUGUCCAAUAUAUGCAGGUCUGACUUGUUUCUUCAAAGGGGACAAAGUUGUCCUCUUCUUAAUACUCAAGAACUAAGCUAAAAAAAAGUGAAGGACACAACUGCCAGCUUGACAUAUUUGGGUUUAACUAUCUCUUUUGUUUGCUUCCUUCAUUGUUAUUACUUUUGUCGUAUGUCUUAUUUCUUAAAGUCUUCCUCCAAAGUUUUGUUUCGGAUAUGCGCAUUUCAUAUUAGUGAAGACGUGCAUUGGCCUUUGAUCCUAAUUUUAGAAGAAGCUCGAGUAAUUAGCUCUAUUUUAUACGACUGGCAAGUAAGGAAAAAUGGCUAUUGAUGGAAUCAGUUUUUUUUCUUGUUUCAUAUUCAGUAGCCUUAUGAUUAGCUAUUUGUGAGCGAGUUUUCCUGCAUCGCUAUCUUUUCUACUUAUAAAAGAGCAACCAUUUUCUUUCUUAGAAGUUAAAAAGCACAAUAAACAUGGCAGAUGAGGGAGCCAGAAUAAUAAAAAAUAUCAGAAAACUGGAUGUAGACUCCUAGCAUGCUCUCUUUUGUUACUUUCAUAUUUUAUAUUUAUUGGUCACAUUGAGGUGCUCUUAGGUGUAUGUACUGUUGGAUAUCCUUGCCUUUCUUCCUGGUUCUGUAUUUUGAGAUUUAUAUGCAAUUGGUUCAUCUCACAAUAUGAACAUGACCCCUCCUGAAAAAACAGUCGCCAAUUGCAUUGUCUUCUAUAAUGUAGUUAUGCACCGUGUAGUACUAGCAUAUGACAUAUGUAUAAGUUGUAGACCAUGGUAGAAGGCAUUAUGGACUAAAAUUACAAGUGUGAGUAAUUUCACUUGAAUAUAUUGCCAUCCAUUCCACAUAUUUCUACUCACUUUGUUGUUUGACAGAGUUGAAUUGUCAGAGCCCAAAAUGCAUAUGGUUUUAUUUUGUAUGCUCACCCUAGAUGCUACCACACAAUUAGAGCUUAUAACUACCGGUUCUUUUAGAAUUAAAUGGAAGUACAUACUGAUUUAGUUUCGAAGCAAAUAUUUGACAGAUUCCCCUUCAAUCCGAAGCAUAGGAAAUGGAAAAUUUACCAAGAGCUAUGUGAGAAAUCAUCAAGGGAACGACCUACGGUACGAGAUACCGAAGAGUGUAAAUCGUAGCCCUAUUUCCUUCUUAAAACAAAUUUUUUUUCUGGGGACCAAUUUAUGUUGUAUACUGAAAUCAUAUUGUAUACUACAAUCAUGUUGUCUUAAGAAGAAUCAAGCUGAAUUAGCUUGUCCAGUGACACAAUAUGUUUAACAAUGGGGGUUUGAUACGAUUAAUUAGUAAAUUUGAUGUUCAUCGUUUACAACUUAUUAGAGACCAAAUGGAUGAAACAUCAUAUUAUUAUUUUUAUGUGGUAACGUGAUGUGUUCACUUUUAAAAGUAUAUCCCAAGUGACAUCACAAACAUUAUGCAUCCAUCUAAAAUUUAUAUUUUUUAACAUUAUUAUUUAUCUAAGAGGCAAAAUGUUCAGAAUGUUCAUUCAUGUUAGUUUAUAAUAAUUCUCAGAACAUUUUAUUUUUUCCUAGCAAAUAAUUAUGUUUAGCUUCAAUACAUGUUUUCAGUUUACCAUUAGGAUUAUGUCAUCCAGUUUGUUGGGGAAUAUUUGUGGUUCACCAAGCAUAGUUAAGUGGGCACAUGAUCUGUGUAGUCCAAGUGUGAUCUAGACAUGAUGUUGUUCCCUAAUUUUCUGCUAUCUUAGAAUAUCUUUAUUUAACGUGAAAAUGGCUAUUUUGUUGAAGGCUAAACUGAGCAACCAAAUAUCUCUUAUUUACCUUGGUACCAAUUAUCUUUAGAUACCAUUUUUGUGGUGUACUAUAAUAGUUGCAAAGUGGAAAUGUUUCGACAUUUGCUGAGCUAAGAUACCGGUUAAUCAAAAAAUUAACCAGUUAAUAGAAGAAGUAACAAAUGUGAAAGUUUGACCACUUUGUUGGGUUUUGAGGCAUCCACAUGUUGAACGGACGAGGCUCCCGUGCCGUACUGCAGGGUGCAGUUGGCCCACUGACUGGUGGGCCUGGCAGCAGUUUGGCCCACAUGUCAAUGACCCAACUGCAUCUUACAAUACAUCAGGGGAGCUGAGUCGAUGUUGAACAUGUGAGAUUUACUUACCCAAGUGAUUUUUUAGCUCAAACCAAAAAGCAGAGACACAUUGUUCUACGGAUAUACGUGCUUUGCACGUGCACGUUUACUAGUUUCACUAAAAGAGAGAUAUUCGCUCCGAUAUUGCCACUAAUGACUAAUGAAUGCAAAGGAUUCCCCAAAUCCUCUCUUUGAUAUUUUCCAUAGUAAAUGCGCUAAAAGGGAAGAGAUCACGUGGGGGGAAGGAAAGGAAGGGAAAUGGAGAAGAAAUAAUUCACUAGGAGCCGUCAUAAGGCUACCAGAGCCAAAGACGGUGUUCCAUGCGACUGCACGCGCUCGCAUGAGCGGUCGUUUGGUGUGGAAACCGAGGCAGGUUGUCCACCUAAACAACUUUCAUAAGGGGGACCCCGUCGAAAUGUCAACAGAAAGGGGAGAAAGAGGAGCGUCAAGCACAGCCAAAACCUGUUCAUCAUCAUCUUCAUCCACAAACCCUAGCCACCACCAUUUUCAUCUCCCUACCCGUCUCCACCACCAUAGUGCUCUCUCACCUAGUUCAUACUUGUAAUCAUGCAUCUCACAAGGCAUCCACUGUAAGACAUAUUAGAAUCAAUCAAUCCCAAGAUGUGUUCUUCAAUAUUUCCCUCUUGCAAUCUGAUCUCCAUGUGUGAGUAGUUCAGUAAGGUAUGGGGUGAGGCAUGAGCCUUGAAACUCCAGGUAUUUGGUGAAGGGAUCAAUGGAAGUCUUUGACACAAUGUCUCGUAUGUGUGAAAUAAAAUUGUUUCGUGAAGUAUCUCUUGUCUUGUCUGCGACCUUCAUCCCUACAGGUACCUAAGAUCAUGGAGAUUGGGCACCGGUGAGGCUAGGAGCAAGGGGACCAAGAAGUAUUAUACCGAACACUGGUGACAGUAAGGUUUAGUAGGGUAACAUGGAUCAUAUCCUUGGGGAUUCAUGAGGUGUAGUCCUUAAACGCCCAAUGCUUUUGUCUGAUAUUAUUAUCUUAAUUAUCAGGGCAACCCCAUGAGACGGAUAGGGCCUUCGGUAGGACAACUAAUUCUUGAUGCAGGAGCAUGCCGGUCAAGAUGUUAUUUGGACACAUUCCCCACUCCGAUACGAAGCAAGCACCUCUUGAUGUUUGACUUCCCGAGCACAAACUAAUAUUAUUUUUUAUCCCAACACCAAUACAUGGUGAUCUCAUCCCUGUACCUUCUUUUUAUUAUAAGUAUUUGAAUCACAAUUUGCUUGCUGAUCCGGUCAAAAGCUAGAUUUGACACUUUGGCAAAAGCUUGCUAUAGACCAUUGUUUCAAGGGAGUCUUCCUCUCGUGGGUUCGAUACACAGGGUCACCUCUGGGGAAAUAGGUGUGGGAUACCCUUUCUUGUUCCAAUACCGGAUAAAUAAAAAGGAGAUAUCAUGAGUGCACUUUAUAUUAGAAUUUUAAACACUAUUGCAACAUUAACUAUGGAUAAAUCUCUAAAUGAAUCUUGUGUUUGUUGUUGUAUAUCACUGGCUUGCAAUAGUUUAAAUUUAGCACCCCUGUUUGAGAAAGAAAAUUUGACUGCAAGUGGUGGAAACUAUGAGGAUUGGAUCCACACUCUAAGAUAUGUUCUCAAAAGUGCUAAGAAAGAAUAGGUGCUUGAUCAACCACUUGGUGACUACCCUGCGCUAGGAGCAUCUUAAGAUGUCAUCAAUGUGUUCAUAUCUCAGAAGAAUGAUUUCAUUGUUGUCAAAAGUAUUAUACUAUCUUGCAUGGAUCAAGUGUUACAUAAAUGUUUUGAACAUCUAAGUGCUAUUGAAAUUGUUGAAGCACUAGAAGUUCUGUAUCAUAACGAUCCAGCUGAAGUUCACGAGAUGACUGGACCAUUGGGUGAAUGCAAAAUAGCUGAAGUGCGAUGCUCAAAACCAAUGAGAUCGGGUUGCAGAACCAGCAAAAGUUUCUUGUAAACAAGACAUAGAGUUUCAAAAGAAAGCAUAACACCAAGAGGAACAAGGGUGGAGCUUCUUGCGAGACUAUUUGCUUCUACUACAAGGAGAAAGGACACUGGAAAAUAAAUUGCGCAAAGUAUCUGGCGGAUAAGAAAAACUCAUCUUCUGGUAAAGGUAAGUUAUACAAGUUAAU